GAAGCGAAGCAGUGAUGUGAAGCAAAUCGCNCCAAAGCCAGUCCCAGUUCGGAUAAGAGGCUGAAACUCGCCUCUUUGAAGUCGGAAUCGCUAGUAAUCGCAGAUCAGCAUGUUGCGGUGAAUACGUUCCCGGGUCUUGUACACACCGCCCGUCAAACCAUGAGAGUCACCAACACCCGAAGUCCGCCUUGGCGGCCUAAGGUGGGGGAGAUGAUUGGGGUUAAGUCGUAACAAGGUACC
This 240-nucleotide ribosomal RNA is filed under the name uncultured bacterium. RNAcentral describes it as "partial 16S ribosomal RNA". It matches the Rfam family "Bacterial small subunit ribosomal RNA", at positions 1246 to 1500 of the family's 1533-position model. The record is from RNAcentral.